AUUGAACGCUGGCGGCAGGCCUAACACAUGCAAGUCGAACGGUAACAGGAAGAAGCUUGCUUCUUUGCUGACGAGUGGCGGACGGGUGAGUAAUGUCUGGGAAACUGCCUGAUGGAGGGGGAUAACUACUGGAAACGGUAGCUAAUACCGCAUAACGUCGCAAGACCAAAGAGGGGGACCUUCGGGCCUCUUGCCAUCGGAUGUACCCAGAUGGGAUUAGCUAGUAGGUGGGGUAACGGCUCACCUAGGCGACGAUCCCUAGCUGGUCUGAGAGGAUGACCAGCCACACUGGAACUGAGACACGGGCCAGACUCCUGCGGGAGGCAGCAGGGGGGAAUAUUGCACAAGGGGCGAAAGCCUGAUGCAGCCAUGCCGGGGGUAUGAAGAAGGCCUUCGGGUUGUAAAGUACUUUCAGCGGGGAGGAAGGGAGUAAAGUUAAUACCUUUGCUCAUUGGCUUUACCCGCAGAAGAAGCACCGGCUAACUCCGU
This 489-nucleotide ribosomal RNA is filed under the name uncultured bacterium. RNAcentral's name for it is "partial 16S ribosomal RNA". It matches the Rfam family "Bacterial small subunit ribosomal RNA", at positions 30 to 506 of the family's 1533-position model. The record is from RNAcentral.